GUAUGAGAGAGGAUCUCGUGCUGUGUCAGCAAGCUUCCUGCCCAUCGUGGCACACUGUGCCUAUGGAUGCUGCUGCCGUUGCUGAGAGGUGCCAUAGAAAAAGGAUUCUUUCUCUCAGGAUGGAGUAGGUAUUUCAAAGCACCCAAAUCCCUGGUGCUGUGCGCACAGAUAGCAAACAAAGUGAUACAGUCAUUCUGCAUGUCUUGACGCCGAAGUAUAGGUGAAUAAUGGGAAGGCUGGCAGAGUGCUCUAAUGUGAUAAGUUACAGUAAUACAGCCAUACCGUUAUGAAGAUAACAAUGCAAAAGAAACCAACAAAUAUCAAAGCCAAAGCAGAGAAUAUCUUAAAUGCUGGCUGUGGAAAGCUGCUGCUGUGACUGUAGGAGAGAACACAGCCCUACAUGGCGCUCACUGGGAGGGCUGUAUGCACAGUGUGUGCACAGGUAGACGGCCCCGCAGCCAGUGCUGGGCCAUAGAAGCAGUUCUGCUUUUCUCUUUCUUCUUGUAGCUUUUGAGCGAGUUCUAGAAAAUAGCUGAGGCAAUAUGGAAGGAGAGAAAGACUGAAAUAAACAUUGAUUUUUACAGUGUAAUAAUUUAUGGUACCAACUUAAUAAGUGGUGCGACACGAACAGUUCACCAUCCAUUUAUCAUGUGUUGAUAGUUUUUGAUAUGUGAAUUUUUAACACCACUGCUCCCUUUGAUAUAAUAAAGGACCUGCCAACAUUCCCAUUAAAAACAUUAGAUUUUAGGACUUCCUGCUCUGGCUAUCAAUAGCAGUAUAUGUAAGCUAUGAAUUAAUAUGCAGAAUAGCAAUAAGCAAUGACUUAUUCCAGCAGCUAUAAAAAAUACAAAUACAAAAGAGACUUUGACAUUUCUGAACUUCAGGAGGACAUCCUCUUCCUUCCAGAAGAAAAGGCUGAUGAGCCCUUCUCAUGACAUCCACCAUAAAAGGUUUACAAAUGAAGAGACGGCUCCUGAACUUUAAUAAAUCAGCUUAAUUCCUUAGAUAACAAUAAGGAGACAGCAAUUUACAUUAAAAUGUUCUGAUGAGAGUUGUCUUGAGCUGCAGUUUGCUGGCAUAACAUCUCCAGGCUAAUCACAUAUACUUUCAGUAGCUACAGUGUGGUUAAAGUCAGGGAAAUGGAUGUACAAAAAUAGCAUCUGAGAGCCCAUGUUUGUUCUCAGCUGUUCCAUCUCAAGGACUCCCCAGACCAUUUUGGCCAGCAUAGAGGUCACAUCUGAGUCUGGUGACUGCAAGCCUUUCAACUGGGCUUCAGAUAAUAGCAUCAAGUCAAAUUAUUUCUGCUUCUCACAUCACCUUCGUCUGAAUCAUAAGAAAAGAUCACACAACAAAACAGCUCUGAAACAGAACAAAGAAAUCUGACAUUCUUUAGCUGUCUGACUUCACCAUACCAUCUGCAAGCAGCCCGGCUUGACAGUGAAAUCAUACACACACAUUUCAAGUAGUUAUGAUAGACGUCAAGGUUGUCCAUACUUGCUUUAUUUAGUGAAACCCACUUUAAAGAAGGUGGAUGCUAAUGAUUUCCAACAUACGGCUGUUUUAGCUAACAAGUUUUUGGAAUGCUGGAACUUCUUCAGGAUAUCUCUGGACCACAGUCCUGCGAGCUCAGUGCUCAGGGUUAGGUCCUACUGUCAGUGAGCAAUAGUGGGCUUCUUUACUGUUCUGCCUUAUGGGCCGAGGGAGCAUGUGGAGGCAAGAGUGUUUUCAUUAAAUGCCUUCUCAAUAGUCUUAAGCUGUAGUGCUUGUUCUAAUAAAAAUACCUAUGGGAGAAUUUACAGCUUCUGCUUCCACCAACAGCUACAACGUGGUUAUUAAGCCGUGCAUUGGGAAUGCAAACGGAGCACCUAGCAGCAAAAAGGCUGCAUCAGUCAUCAUUUCAUCACACAGCUGGGUGUUGCCAGGGCCAGGCCUUCACUUGGCUAUUCAGGGAACAUUACUGUACAGCCAUUUAAUUGACUAGUUCAGAGAGCAGUCUGCACUAAAUGAACUGUCCAGCUUCUAAGCCUGAAAGGUUCAGCCUCCCCUCCAUCCUUUCCAGAAUGCACACGAAAACCUCUACUGAACGAAGACUCAGAAAUGGUCUCACCUUCCUGCCGUGCUAUCUUAAAGAGCCAUAAAAAGACAGACAUGGAGAAGAUAACUUAUGAAUAAUAGGGUAGGACUGAAAAAUAAGUUAGUUGUGUUAAAUUCUAUUUAUAUCCACAGUUUGUCAGGGAUUGCAAUAAAAAGAGUUUAUGAUUUUGUUUGUCUUACCCAAGAUUGUAGGGGUUUAAUGUACCAUUUUGGAGUUGUUAAGCAUUUUCAUUGUGACACUUGAUCUCUGUGUUUAUACUUUAUUACUGCAGAUUGCUUACAGAGGGGAGAGGGAACUGUGAAAUUUCCAAAGAAAUUACAGUUUGUUGCUUUUUCAGUAACUGGAUCAUUUAAAAGCUCCCUUUUUAGUAAGAAAUAAUGACUCACUUUAUUUAGAGACUAUUUAAAAUGCUCUUGAGGUAUCUAUUGGAUAUCUCAAAAUAACAGAUAAAUCAGUAGCAGACUUAAAAUUAGUCUUACACUGUUAUAUUUUACAAUAUUUUCUAUAUUAUGAUCCACAUUAUACAUCUCUUGCAUGUUAGGAAGAGAGAAAUCUGUUUCCAAAGCUGUUCCUGGCAUAACCAGUCUUACCCCCCAAAAAACCUGCCAGGAUUUGUCUUUGCAGCACGAACUUGGUUUAUUUGGGUGGUUGUGGAUGGCCUCUGAUAGGCCAGAGCUCAUUUCAACAGUGUUUUCCUCUUUCAGUGUUGAAGAGGAAUUACAGUAGAGAGGUGGUUGUUCAUCUGAAUUUCCAACUAAUUAAACUGACCUAAUACCUGUCAAAAAUAAUUAGGAUAAAAACUGCUUUCUUAAAGCAACUCUUUCAAGGUGGGAAGCCAGUACUGAGGGAUGGAUGCCUCGUGCAUUGGGCACUGAAACAAGUGUGGCAGUGGAGUUGUGCUCCCUGAGCAUCUUCUGCAGCUUCUGUUGGGAUUCUCCAUCCCAGGAAAGGACUUGUCCAUCUUUGGAAUGACAAGAGACUGCUUGGGGUCUGUUACUGUUCUGAUGAUGGACACAGCUAUGAGGAUUCACUGAAACUCCCAAACCAGUGUGGGCAAACAGCUGGUCCUGAAUCAGAAAGCAGUUUUGUUGGAAGCUCAACUCCAGGUUUGAGCAGAUCUGCAGGGUUAAUUCCAGACAGACUCUGUGAGGAAGGCACAAGUGCCUCAUUGCUUUUACUGAUAGAGAACCUCAGUUACCUUCUGCUUAACAGGAGUGGCUGUGGGUACGGGGACAAAUCCCAGUGUCAGCUCUCCAGACUGUCCCAACCGCCAGCACCGCAACGCUUUAUCUUCUUUGGCCUUGAACCUUGUUAUUCAAAAUAACAUAUAAUAGUAAAGGAGCAUUUUGAGUGAUUUUGUUAGAAAUACAUCAGGCUGUCUAACAGUUUAUUGGCAUCAAUAAUUCCCUAUUAAGCCCUCUACACCCAUUAUGGUUUGUGCUUCCACUUUUUUUCCGUGUUAGUUUCCAGGCAACCAGCAAGAACUGAAUUACAUUAAGCUAUUAAUUCAGGACUGCACGCCAGCUCGGGCUUCUUCUGCUGAUUUGCUCCUCUCACAUGCAAGUUUCCUCAUAAAAAAACCCUUUUUUAUUGGUUUAAUCUUCAGUGACACUCAGUCCAGAGAACUGAUUUGAAAAUUGCCGUGCUGAGCCUGAUUUUUGUUUCUUGUUUGUUUGGGUUUUUUUAUGCUUGCUGGUGAGGUUUGUUCUGGGUGUAGGAUAAAGCAGAAGUCUGUGAGGAGGGGUUGAUGUUAGCCACCAUAGAUACAGCUAGAUACGGUUUUCUUUAAUGCUGUGUAAGACAUGAGCUCAUACUGAAAUCUUGCAUGGCGAGAACAUCUCUGUUAUCAUUAAAGAGAAGUAGUUUCCAUGUUUCGCUCCAUCACUAAAUGCCUGUAGCACUGGGAAAGGCACUGGCUCCAGACCCAGCUGAAAGCAAUAUCUGCAGGUGGGACAGAGAUUUGGAGACAAAAUUUGGUAAUGCCUAAUGACUAUGAGCCCUGAAAUCCAACUUAUGCUCUACAUUGAGUUACCAUCUAUUUUAUUGUGAGGCCAGGAAUGUCAUUACCCAUUUCACAACCUAUAUUCAGUAGGGACAAGCACAGACUUCAGGUACUUCUACUGUCUUUAUCUCAGCCUGUUUAUUGGUGCCUGUGAGUUGAAGAGGUCUGUGAUACAAGAGCUGGUGAAAUACAGAGAGUCCACAAUUAGAGUAAUCAACCUUAAUGAAAAGAAUUUGUCUUCACCCACAGCCAAAAAUAACAACAAACAAGUGAUAAAUAAGUAAAUACCAUAUGAGACCGAAACCAAAACAAGACACCAUUUCAGAUAAGGAUUCUAUGGCCUGUAAAAUAGUUGAGCUAGACAGAAUUUUAAAAACAGUGAUGUGUUUUUUUUCCUAAUUAAUUUUAAAUAAACCACUGUUUUGAGCUGUUUUCAGUUUUAUAGAGGUCUGUCAUAAGAGUUUGAAUCAUUGCAAUUCGGACCAUGAAUGUUAACCAUUACUUCAUGAAACUUAACUGGAAAAACCUCUAAAGGGAUGUUUUCUGUUUGUAAGGAAGGUGCAUAUGAUCUAUGCUUUUCUCUGUUGGAAGACGCCAUCAGAAGCUGUACUGCUAAAAAGGAUUUUUAUGCCUCAUCGGUUGCUCAGUUAUCUUGGAGCAGUUAUACUGAGCAGACUAAUUUUUUGUUCCCCAUUCCAUUGAUCCUAUGGUGUAAGUGCGGCCAUCCUGAGGGCGUGAGCUUCUAUCACCAUACCCAAACCCUGUGGUAAACAUGUUCAAUCUAAUCACGUUCUCUGUUUCUGGGACAUAUUUUAUUAAACGUUUUCAUCACUUUCAACCCUCAACAGAUUUAUUUCUGCAAUUAGAGGACUUGCUAUUUACCAGGAGAAACAAUGCUGGCAAAAAGACACCUUGCAGCAACGUAACUCAAAUGAGUUACCACUAAUUUCACAUUAAUAACACAACUAAUUCCUUUUCUACAGGUUAGGAACGUGCCCCAUGUCAGAAACCUUUGGAAGCAUUUCAGAAAUACUGAAAUGUGGCAGUCCAGUUAAAUAUGAUCAGAUGUAUAAGAGAAUGAAAAGAGAAGUUGCCAAUGAAUCAAAUAACAAAAACAGCCCAAAGUGUUUGUCUGGGACCCCAGACCAGGAUUCAUCUACAUUUAUGGAAUGCAAUCCAUGACCUGCAGGUUGGGUACUCAGUGUCCAGUCCGACCUGCACCUCAGAGGCUCCACACUGCACUUCUGGUAGAGCUAAGCUGGGAAGGAAGUUUCAUAGCAGAUGUUUUGUAGUGAAAGACACCCAGUCUCCAAACAGUAGAUGUGCUUUCCAGCCCAGCAGAGGUCUUCUGAGGUAUCUCCUUGCCUUUUCAAUUGACAUGGGUCCCACUUUUUGUGUCUACCUUUGCUUUAGGGACAGCACACUCACAAGGUGUCCUGUUACUUCUGGUAGCAGGAUCUGACCUGCUGUUCCUUGCUGGGAUUGCUUAACCCAGUGUUCAUAAUGUUAUUUGUGUGGAAGUUUGUGAAAAUCCAGUCCUUUAUUAAACAGGUAUUUAACAGAUGCUCAGUGACACGCAGCAGCCCAGUUUAGCAUCCCUUCCAAAGUGCACUGUGUGCAACUGGAAGAACUCCUUAUUUUACAAAUUACCUUAAAAAUUCAAAACAGCAGUAUGAAAUUCCAUCACAUUUAGUGCCACUGAUUGUGGAGGCCCUCAAAAAACCCAGCUCCAGAUUUUCCCCUCUGUGAAGCUGCCUUGUGAAUAACAAAACCUGCAUUGUUCUUGGGUGUUCUUCUGAAUUUAUUUUCUGUCAUCUUCUUAAGGAAAGAAAAUACAGCUUCUCUCACUUCGCACCCUUUGGGACAGCAACCGCAGAUGAAGAGCAAGCAAUCAACAUGUCAGGAUAAAAUUAGAUUGCCACAGAGAACAGGGUUUGAUCCAAUAUCUGUAUCAGAUUUUGUUCUUGGCUGUUCACAUGGCAAUAAAAUACUUUUUGUUUGUUGCCCACAAACAUGCUCCAAGAGCAGCCCCAUCACACCCCACAGGCACCCAACCCAGAGCAGAGCCAGCCCCGAGGCAGGUACAGCUGCUCCACAGUCCUGGUCCUACAUGCCAAGCUGCCCCUAUGGAGCAUCUUCAUGGGGCACGGGCUGCAACUGCUGCAAUGCAGCUUGCAUAUAACCCACCUACAUGCUGACAUCCCUUCGUCUAAGUCAUUUCAAGAGUUAAUAGUAUUUCUUUCUGUUUUGUUGUAAAAAGCAGAAAUAUUGAAAAUGUACAGUUGCAAAUUUCUGAUUUGGAUCAGAAAGUUUGCUUUAGUUAACCUGAAGCAUCUAAACUAACUGAGGAUUAAAUCAAUUUUUUCUUGGGUGUACAAUAUGCCCAUGGACUUGAUUUAGCAGCGGGUCAUUGAAGUAAGGGUACUGUGGUUAGGCUGAGGUUGGGCUUGAUGGUCUGGAAGGUCUUUUCCAACCUGAUCAGUUCUAUGGUUCUAUGGUUCUAUACUGAUACACACAAGCUCUCUUCCUAUAUCACCUGUGGCACACUCAGUCAGUUAAGGGAUUUAACCUUGUUCUGCUUGUACUCAGAUGCAGGAUUCAUGUGAGGAGACUGCAAGGAUGUCCUCUGCCUCUGUGUUAUUUCAGUCCUCAGACCUGCUCUUGCUGCUCUGUCAGUGGCUUUCAAAUUAAUGAUCUGAUCUUUAAAAUUAAUGAGUUUUCAUUGACCUCCGUGGAAGUGGAUCAGAUCUGAGCCUGUCAGCCUGCCUGGCACUUCUCAUCAGAGCUGGAUCUGGAAGCAGCUCACCUACUUUUACAACCAAGCCCAGCACCUCUGAGCACAUCGCCUGAAGCCACAUCCUUCUGAUCUCAUUAAUUUAGCCAUGUGUGUCCUGCUGCUCCAGGCCAAAGGGUUUUUAGUAAUGAGAAUUUUGGUUUUGUUCAGCAGUUGCUUCAAGUUAUUUGGGGUUCCUUUCCAUGUCAGUUUAGCUCCAGAAACCUGCCUGGCAAGCUUGUAUUAGCUCAGGAUUUCCUGGGAGAGGAAAUUGAGCAUCUAUAUUUUCCCAGUCCCUAAAUGAGAUUUGAAAAAUCUCAUUUCAAUAAUUACAAUAACAAAGAAUCCCAUAAAACAAAAAUAAUAAUAAUAAGUGGAUUAGCACAUGGGGGAUGGAGACCUUUACAGACACGGCAAAAUAUUUGCUUUUCCUGUGGAAAACGUAGCAAAUCUUGAAGAAGAAGUGCUCAGAAACUGCUAGGCUGUCACUUGGGACAUGGAAAUCUCAAUAGCUCAAAUCUCAAUCUCAGUGAUGAGCACAGCCUGCAGCACAUCUUGAUUUGGUUUAAACAUGCUUUCAUAUGGCUGUGAUGGACAGGCAGAAGGAGCUGGGAGAGGAGCAGCGGGUGGGGAAGGAGGGCUGUGCCAUCAAGAACAGGGCAGGGACCCCCAACCAGUGCUAAACCUCAUAAACCAGACACAAAUUCUGCCCUGGGAGGAGCACCACAAGAGCCCCAAAAGCAAGGAGAAGCAUCUGCAUCCCUAUCAAAAGGACACAACCAAGAGACCUUAAAAAUGAAGAAUGCUCAUGAUUUCUGUCAUAAAAUGUUCUAACGUGACCUCACAACCUAAUUUCUACAGCCAUUGGAGUAGUGAGAAUUACAUAAGAUCCUUGCUAUUUGUUUUAUGUGAUGCUUAACUCGUAUCCUCAAUGAUUCAUUAUUAAGAUUUGUCAGAACUAAUUAAGAUGAGUGCCAGCUGUGAUAGUGUUUGAUGUCACGGCACCUUGCUCCACGGAGUGCGACCGAGGUGGCUCGGAGCAUGCAGUCAGCUAAUAGCAAGCAGUGCUGGGCAGCUGGUGGCCAGCCUCAUCCGAGCUGCUCACAGAGGUGAAGCUCUUUAGCAGCCCCUGGGGAUGUGGUGCUUCUGUGUAUGACAUUCAGUUUUCAGUAACUCUAUUUAAAACAAAAAAUCAUCAUCAACAAAGAGAAAAUUAAGUUACACAUACAACUUUCUGUCGUGCAGCAAACCAACACUCUUUAUUUAAAUAAAAGCAAGUAAAUACCAAAAAUAGCAUAAGUUUUAAAGUCAGGAAGGGUGAAGAUGCAGUUUUGGUUACGGCUUUGACUGUGAAUUUCAAUUCUGAUGUGAGCUCUCUGGUGGGCCCCCCUGCAAGCAAGUUGCCAACUAAACCUCUCUGGCCCUGCUUUCAUACAGGUGAAGUUAAUCACGACAUAACCAAUGUGCAGCUGUGUACUCACUGCUCCUAAACAA
Molecule: non-coding RNA, 8364 nt
Organism: Coturnix japonica (Japanese quail)
Lineage: Eukaryota; Metazoa; Chordata; Aves; Galliformes; Phasianidae
Source: RefSeq, a predicted model, not a curated record